GCUGGGUGUGGUAGCGCAUGCCUGUAAUCCCAGAGACUUGGGAGGCUGAGGCAGGAGGAUCACAAGUUUGAGACCAAUCUCAGCAAGUUAUCCAAGACCCUGUCUCAA
This 108-nucleotide small RNA is filed under the name Marmota monax (woodchuck). Lineage: Eukaryota; Metazoa; Chordata; Mammalia; Rodentia; Sciuridae. The record is from RNAcentral.